AGAAAAUUAGUUAAACUACAUAACAAUGGGCUGUCAAACCAUAAUUACUAGCUAAACCCUAGUAUUUUCUU
This 71-nucleotide transfer RNA is filed under the name Poliometra prolixa. Its description in RNAcentral is "tRNA-Asp". It matches the Rfam family "tRNA". Rfam says of the family: Transfer RNA (tRNA) molecules are approximately 80 nucleotides in length. The record is from RNAcentral. Lineage: Eukaryota; Metazoa; Echinodermata; Crinoidea; Comatulida; Antedonidae.